Molecule: ribosomal RNA, 253 nt
Filed under: uncultured bacterium
Lineage: Bacteria
Description: partial 16S ribosomal RNA
Rfam family: Bacterial small subunit ribosomal RNA
Source: RNAcentral
UACGAAGGGUGCAAGCGUUACUCGGAAUUACUGGGCGUAAAGCGUGCGUAGGUGGUGAGUUAAGUCUGUCGUGAAAGCCCCGGGCUCAACCUGGGAAUGGCGAUGGAUACUGGCGGGCUAGAGUGCGGUAGAGGAGAGUGGAAUUCCCGGUGUAGAAGUGAAAUGCGUAGAGAUCGGGAGGAACAUCAGUUGCGAAGGCGGCUCUCUGGACCAGCACUGACACUGAGGCACGAAAGCGUGGGGAGCAAACAGG